GCCAAAGCUUGUCAUCUUCUUUGAAUCUUCAAUCCUUCAACACAAAUCAAGAUGAAAAUCAAACUUAAGCACAUUCUAUUCUAAAGUUCAUCUAUCAAUAAGUUCUAAUCAAAAGAAGUAGAUUUGGUCAAGAUUUAUCAUGAAUUGACAAGGAUAAAUGCCUAAAUUUCUCAUCAAAAUAGGUAAAAUUGGCACUUAU
RNAcentral lists this long non-coding RNA (199 nucleotides) under Lotus japonicus. RNAcentral's name for it is "long non-coding RNA (LJAP_LNC002143)". The record is from RNAcentral. Lineage: Eukaryota; Viridiplantae; Streptophyta; Magnoliopsida; Fabales; Fabaceae.